RNAcentral lists this long non-coding RNA (2006 nucleotides) under Salmo salar (Atlantic salmon). Its description in RNAcentral is "lncRNA (ENSSSAG00000105922.1)". The record is from RNAcentral. Lineage: Eukaryota; Metazoa; Chordata; Actinopteri; Salmoniformes; Salmonidae.
CUAGAACCCCUACGUACACACACACACACACACACGGUCGACAGACUAGAACCCCUACGUACACACACACACACACACACACGGUCGACAGACUAGAACCCCUACGUACACACACACACACACACACCGGUCGACAGACUAGAACCCCUACGUACACACACACACACACGGUCGACAGACUAGAACCCCUACGCACACACACACACACGGUCGACAGACUAGAACCCCUACGUACACACACACACACGGUCGACAGACUAGAACCCCUACGUACACACACACACACACACACACACGGUCGACAGACUAGAACCCCUACGUACACACACACACACACACACACACACACACGGUCGACAGACUAGAACCCCUACGUACACACACACACACACACACACACACGGUCGACAGACUAGAACCCCUACGUACACACACACACACACACACACACGGUCGACAGACUAGAACCCCUACGUACACACACACACACACACGGUCGACAGACUAGAACCCCUACGUACACACACACACACACGGUCGACAGACUAGAACCCCUACGUACACACACACACACACACACACACACACACACACACACACACGGUCGACAGACUAGAACCCCUACGUACACACAUAAUGGUGUGAUUUGACCUACAACUAAGACAGACUAUUGAAUGCACUCAAAUUCAAUAGCGUGGUUUCCACUACCACAUUAUCUCCUGGCUAGUCAGUGCUUGAUACCGCCAGAGUUGUUCGAAAUUGAGAAACUCAACAUGCGAUUACUUUCCGCAAAUACCUUGUUGACAAAUUUGCGACUCCCUUUGAUGAUGGUGUGAAAUUUUGUCAUGGGCGUUACAGGAAGUAAUUUCAUGUUGUGGAGUCGCUCAGUUUUAAACGGCAAUAGAGCUGUACUGGACACCAUAUUGGCAAUAUUAGCAAAAUGCUCAUUCAAAAAACAGUACCCUAAUGCAGGGGUAUUCAAAUCUGAGCCUGGAGGUCCAGAGUAGUGCUGCUCUAUCGGUUGACUAGAUGGGAUGCAGCGAAUGUCAGAAGGGACUUUUCCUUGCAGGUUAGGAGAACUUACGCAGCAGGUUAUACAAAUGUACGUAGCAGGUUAGGAGACUGAGGUUAAGGUUAGCGAAAAUGCUUUCUUAACCUGCUACAAAAAUCACUUUGUAUCAAAGUGUUGUGAAAAGACUGUGUCCCUGUAGCCAUGACCUGUUCUACCUGGGAAAUGAAUUGCACCCACAUGGUGUCCCAUGUCUAAAUCAGUGCCUGAUUAGAGGGAAAUAAUGAAAAACAGCAGUGGAACUGGCUUCAAGGUCCAGAUUUGAAUUUGCCUGCAGCUAGUGAAGUGGGUUGAUAUGAUCGACAGGACCUAAAGACCUAUACAUUCCCUAUUAAUUAUAAUAUUUAUUCACGUAAGGUAUAUGCUUCAUUACACGUCAUGUUAGUUUGACUAGUUACAUCAAUAAACCAAGACUGAGACCUAUUAUUUGUUUUACAAUGAUAUGCAGACAUUAUUUUUUUGUUUUGUUUAAGCUUUAACUUAUUUGUUUUUAAUUGUGACAAUGCAUUGUUUUUUUCUGGUCCAAUGUCUCUUAUUUGUGCAUGUUUAUCAAGACUAGCUCACCCUGUAGAAAAUGUUCUGUCCAAAGGGACAUUUUGUUAGUUUUAUACCUGUUAAUAUUAUGGAUAAAAUAAACUAGCUUUAUUUGACUUAGGCUACACAUGGUGUAUUUUUGUUUAAGGGGUAGUAUGCAUUCACAAAGCAUGCAGCUUCUUCUUCUUCUGGGGUAUAAAAAUGGCAAUGAUACACACUUUUUUUUAUCUCAGAAGUUGUUCACCAUUUACAAUUACUCCUGAUUUACUGACAGUGAAGUAGUGAACAUUUGAACAACCUGGUGCAAAGGCUACCAGUCCAAAAAUUAUAGCUGUUGCUUGGUUUGUAAGUUUUAUUCAGCACUUUUUUUUUCAGUAACAUUUUUGUAUAUCACUGCAGGGAG